RNAcentral lists this ribosomal RNA (398 nucleotides) under uncultured bacterium. RNAcentral describes it as "bacterial SSU rRNA". It matches the Rfam family "Bacterial small subunit ribosomal RNA", at positions 975 to 1375 of the family's 1533-position model. The record is from RNAcentral.
CAAGGCUUGACAUAUAGAGGAAAAGUGCAGAAAUGUACUCCCCGUAAGGUCUCUAUACAGGUGGUGCAUGGUUGUCGUCAGCUCGUGUCGUGAGAUGUUGGGUUAAGUCCCGCAACGAGCGCAACCCUCGUCCUAUGUUGCCAGCACGUAAUGGUGGGAACUCAUGGGAUACUGCCGGGGUCAACUCGGAGGAAGGUGGGGAUGACGUCAAAUCAUCAUGCCCCUUAUGUGUAGGGCUACACACGUGCUACAAUGGUCGGUACAAACGGUCGCGAACCCGCGAGGGGAAGCCAAUCCGAGAAAGCCGAUCGUAGUCCGGAUUGGGGUCUGCAACUCGACCCCAUGAAGUCGGAAUCGCUAGUAAUCGUGAAUCAGAAUGUCACGGUGAAUACGUUCCC